This 384-nucleotide ribosomal RNA is filed under the name uncultured bacterium. RNAcentral's name for it is "bacterial SSU rRNA". It matches the Rfam family "Bacterial small subunit ribosomal RNA", at positions 28 to 413 of the family's 1533-position model. The record is from RNAcentral.
GACGAACGCUGGCGGCGUGCUUAACACAUGCAAGUCGAGCGGUAAGGCCCUUUCGGGGGUACACGAGCGGCGAACGGGUGAGUAACACGUGGGUGACCUGCCCUCAGCUCUGGGAUAAGCCUGGGAAACCGGGUCUAAUACCGGAUAUGACUCCAUGACGCAUGUUGUGGGGUGAAAGCCUUGUGCGGCUGAGGAUGGGCCCGCGGCCUAUCAGCUUGUUGGUGGGGUGAUGGCCUACCAAGGCGACGACGGGUAGCCGGCCUGAGAGGGCGACCGGCCACACUGGGACUGAGACACGGCCCAGACUCCUACGGGAGGCAGCAGUGGGGAAUCUUGCGCAAUGGGGCGAAAGCCUGACGCAGCGACGCCGCGUGAGGGAUGACG